CUCAACUCAGGUAAGAAAACGCCGUGAACUAAAGCAUUUCAGUAACGGCAGGAAAAGAAAAUAACCAUGAUUCCCUCAGUAACUGCGAGUGAAGUGGGAAAAGUCCAACGUUGAAAGCAGCGUCUGUAACAAGACGUCGCAUUGUAACGUAAAGACUUGUCAUCGAGGUGUGUGACCAAACUAAAGUCGUUGAGAAUGGCGCACCAUAGAGGGUUGUAGUCCCGUGUAUGGUUUGGUAUCGCAUGCUGUGAAUGACAAAGUCGAAGAGUCGGAUUGUUUGGGAAUGCAGUCCAAAGCGGGUGGUAAACUCCAUCUAAGGCUAAAUAUCACUCCGAGACCGAUAGCAAACAAGUACCGUGAGGGAAAGGUGAAAAGAAUUCUGUGAAGAGAGUGCAAAGAACGUGAAACCGUUAGUGGGGAAGCGGACGAUGUAGUCGUAGUGUUAGGUAGUUGUAUUUUUCAAUAUCUUGAAUUGUACUUAUCAAUCUAACGCGCGCCAGGCUCUAUGUCAAUGUUGCUGGCAGUGUGCUGGGUUGUCGACAAUGGUGGCACUGUAAAGUGUCAUCAGUUGGCUGCAGGUGCGUAAGCUGUUGUAGAGUAACGAGGCAUAGAUGUGUGUGCUUGUGCAUCAGAUACGUGUAUGUGUUGAUCAUUGGCAUUCCUUAUGGGAAUGCUGGCGUUUGGCCUGUGCACUGGUUUGGUGUCUCGACUAAGGUCGCACACAAACUCUUGGCGAGAUAUGACAUUGUCCGACCCGUCUUGAAACACGGACCAAGGAGGCUAACAUAUGCGCGAGUCGAGGAGUGGAGAAACUCUAUGGCGUAACGAAAGUAAAAUGUGAGAUCGCGUGAUGUCGAGUCACGUGCGCAUCACAGACCAGUCGGAAGUCUGACUACGAUUGAGUUGCAGCGUAUAUGCUAGAACCCGAUAGAUGGUGACCUAUUCCUGAGCAGAGCGAAUUCAUUGGAAACAAUGAUGGAGGCUCGUAGCGGUUCUGACGUGCAAAUCGAUCGUCAAACUUGGGUAUAGGGGCGAAAGACUUAUCGAACCAUCUAGUAGCUGGUUCCCUCCGAAAUAUCCCUCAGGAUCGCCGAAGCUCUCAGCAGUUUCAUCGGGUAGAGCUAAUGAUUAGAGGAUUCGUGGCUAUUUAUAGCUGCAGCCUAUUCUCAAACUGCAAACCGGUGACUAGUCAAUGAUUUCUUGAGUGAAUUGUUGACGUAAGUGCUGAAUGCGUGAGUUUCGAGUGGGCCGUUUUUGGUAAGCAGAACUGGCGAUGCGGGAUGAACCGAGAGUCAGGUUAAAGUGCCUAAAUUGCGGCAAACGGAAACCAUAAAAGGAGUUGGUAAAUAGUGACAGUGAGGCUGUGGUCCUGUCAGUAGACACCAGCUAAGAAGUGUGUAACAACUUACUUACCGAAUUUACUGGCCCUGAAAAUGGAUGGCGCUUAGCCGUGUACUGAUACCUGACCGUAGACGCGGGAUAUGCAACGUCUAUGGGUAGGAGGGUGCUAUGGUUGCGUAGAAGCACUUACGCGAGUGGGUGUCGAGCAGCCAUAGGUACAGAUCUUGGUUUUAGUAGCAGCGUAUAGAAGUGAGAACCUUCUAGGCCGAAGUGGAGAAGGGUUCCUCGUGAACAGCAGUUGGACGAGGGUUAGUCGGUCCUAAGCAGAAGCUCACAUGCUGAGUAAUAGGGGACGUUUUGUAUAUAGUGUGCUUGCACAUGGUACUUCGUCUCAGUCUGCGAAAGGGAAUCAGGUUAAUAUUCCUGAACCAGGUGGCGGAUAACUAGCGUUGUCUGGCGAUUCUCCGUGACUAACGUCGUGAGGGAUUGCUAAGAUGUCGUUAGUAAAGCGGUAACGCAAACGAACUUGGAGACGUUGUUGGUAGUUCUGGAAAGAGUUGUCUUUUCUUGUUAACUGGUUGCAUGAGCCUGGAAUAGAGUCAUUCGGAGAUAGGCUUAUCAGCCGGGAAGAGCGUCGCAUCUGAGUGGCGUCUGGAAUACUACCAAUGACCCUUGAAAAUCCAAGGGAGUGAAUGAUUGUCGUACCUGGCCGUACCGAGAUCCGCAUCAGGUCUCCAAGGUGAAAAGCCUCUGGCUCUAGAAUAAUGUGGGUAAGGGAAGUCGGCAAAAUCGAUUCGUAACUUCGGGAAAAGGAUUGGCUCUAAGGAUUGGACUAUUCGGAUUGCUGUCUCGUUAAGACGACGGUCGUCGACGCUGUGUCAUGUGGCUGAGCGGGCAACCGUUUGGCGCGGAUGUAGAUGUUGGUGUGCUGUUGUUUUGACCAGACGUCAGUUUACAGUGGUGUAGGCGAUGAAUAUCCAUUUGUUGUUCUAUGCCCUGUCUCGCGAGUAGUUUAAAUCAAUCAACUUAGAACUGUCACUAACUAGGGGAAUCCGACUGUUUAAUUAAAACAAAGCAUUGCGAUGGCUGGAAACGGUGUUGACGCAAUGUGAAUUCUGCCCAGUGCUCUGAAUGUCAAAGUGUGGAGACACAACCAAGCGCGGGUAAACGGCGGGAGUAACUAUGACUCUCUUAAGAUAGCCAAAUGCCUCGUCAUCUAAUUAGUGACGCGCAUGAAUGGAUCAACGAGAUUCCCACUGUCCCUACCUACCAUCUAGCGAACAAACAGUCAAGGGAACGGGCUUGACUGAGACAGCGGGGAAAGAAGACCCUGUUGAGCUUGACUCUAGUUUGAUAUGGUGAGGAGACAUGAGAGGUGUAGGAUAGGUGGGAGAAGCUGGAGUUUCGGCUUUGGUUUCAACAGUGAAAUACCACCACUCUUAUCGUUUCUUUACUCAAUCGGUGAUGUAGGAGGCGCCCAGUUGCUGUGUUAGUCAUUAUGCUACUUCAUGGCUGUUGGUUGCAGACGCGGGGUAAACCCCGUUUGCGAUUAGCAGUUGAGGAGAGUAGACUUGACCGGACUGGAUACGCCACUUGUAAGAAUUAAGAUGGGCUGUCCAGCAUGUAUGUUGGAUGGGCAACUGUUUAGUAUAUGUGUUGGACUGGCUUCUCGAGAGUGUGUCCGUCGACCUGGCCGUGGUUAUCGAGCAAUCGAUAAUUGCAGGUUUCGACCGAUGACAGUAUCAAAUGGGGAGUUUGACUGGGGCGGUACAUUCUUUAAAAUGCAACGAGAAUGUCCUAAGGUGGGCUCACCGUGGACAGAAACCACGGGUAGAGUAUAAGGGCAAAAGCCUGCUUGAUUUUGAUUUUCAGUACGAAUACAAACCACGAAAGUGUGGCCUAACGAUCCUUUAUGUUUACCUGAGAGUUUCAGGAUAGAGGUGUCAGAAAAGUUACCACAGGGAUAACUGGCUUGUGGCGGCCAAGCGCACAUAGCGACGUCGCUUUUUGAUCCUUCGAUGUCGGCUCUUCCUAUCAUUGAGCAGCAGCAUACUCAAAGUGUUGGGUUGUUCACCCGCUUCAGGGAACGUGAGCUG
Molecule: ribosomal RNA, 3437 nt
Filed under: Unicauda pelteobagrus
Lineage: Eukaryota; Metazoa; Cnidaria; Myxozoa; Bivalvulida; Myxobolidae
Description: eukaryotic LSU rRNA
Rfam family: Eukaryotic large subunit ribosomal RNA
Source: RNAcentral